RNAcentral lists this small RNA (1082 nucleotides) under Pongo abelii (Sumatran orangutan). RNAcentral's name for it is "retained intron". Lineage: Eukaryota; Metazoa; Chordata; Mammalia; Primates; Hominidae. The record is from RNAcentral.
UCCGGGAGCGCGACGGAGACGAUGCCUGAGAUCAGAGUCACGCCCUUGGGGGCCGGCCAGGACGUGGGCCGAAGCUGCAUCCUGGUCUCCAUUGCGGGCAAGAAUGUCAUGCUGGACUGUGGAAUGCACAUGGGCUUCAAUGACGACCGACGCUUCCCUGACUUCUCCUACAUCACCCAGAAUGGCCGCCUGACAGACUUCCUGGACUGCGUGAUCAUUAGCCACUUCCACCUGGACCACUGCGGGGCACUCCCCUACUUCAGCGAGAUGGUGGGCUACGACGGGCCCAUCUACAUGACCCACCCCACCCAGGCCAUCUGCCCCAUCUUGCUGGAGGACUACCGCAAGAUCGCCGUGGACAAGAAGGGCGAGGCCAACUUCUUCACCUCCCAGAUGAUCAAAGACUGCAUGAAGAAGGUGGUGGCUGUCCACCUCCACCAGACGGUCCAGGUAGACGAUGAGCUGGAGAUCAAGGCCUACUAUGCAGGCCAUGUGCUGGGGGCAGCCAUGUUCCAGAUUAAAGUGGGCUCAGAGUCUGUGGUCUACACGGGUGAUUAUAACAUGACCCCAGACCGACACUUGGGAGCUGCCUGGAUUGACAAGUGCCGCCCCAACCUGCUCAUCACAGAGUCCACGUAUGCCACGACCAUCCGUGACUCCAAGCGCUGCCGGGAGCGAGACUUCCUGAAGAAAGUCCACGAGACCGUGGAGCGUGGUGGGAAGGUAGCUGCAGCAGGGGUGGGAACACGGGCCCUCAGCCAUGCUGGGCAGGUCCUUCCAGCAGGCUUGGCUGCCCUUGGCGUGGGUCGGGGUCUCAGGGCGGGGGGUACUGCAUUUUCAGGCAGGGAGGGAGGAAGAUUUGCUCAGCAUUGAGGAGGAAAACUCAGAGACCCUUUCCUAGGGAGCCCCUUUUCCUCUCCUACCUCAGAUUCUGACGAAGCCCUGGCCAGGCCCCAUGCAGCUCCUUUCUGUUUCUGGAGAGUGGCUGGGACAGGACUGGAAGCAGAUGAGAGAGGCUAAGGUCCCUAUGAGGACGCAGCUCUUGGGCACCUGGCUGUGCCCUCACUGGACGCUGCCUGCUG